RNAcentral lists this long non-coding RNA (518 nucleotides) under Salvia miltiorrhiza (redroot sage). RNAcentral describes it as "long non-coding RNA (SMIL_LNC001715)". Lineage: Eukaryota; Viridiplantae; Streptophyta; Magnoliopsida; Lamiales; Lamiaceae. The record is from RNAcentral.
GUGAACAAGAUGCUGAAUCCAUUCAAUUGACGCACAAUUUGGAAUUAAAUUAAAAUCAAGACUGAUUUUGACAGCAGGGAGAAGGAUUAAAAUUCAGAAAAUUAUAAAACACAAAUUAACAAAAACUAAAGAAGAAGAAACCUAUUGGCUGCUGCUGCCGAACGGAGGAGGUGGCGAGGGCUUCGGGUGAGUGCAGGAGGAGCGGCGAGAUCGGGCGGAGGCACGGCGGAACGAGAGCAGGCGACUGGAGUUAGGGCUCCCAAUGUCUUCUUCGACUGGAGGAGAGACGCGGUGGGUAGGCGCGGCGAGGCGAGGGCUGCCGGCGACUGGAGAUAGAGCUCCCAAUGUCUUCUUCGACUGGAGGCGGAGGUUGAGGUUCAGGGGGUGCAGCGGCGCUAGGGCGGAGCGGGUGCAAGGAGGAGGCUAGGUCAAAGUGGUGUGGAGGUAAACAUAGGAAAAAAUAUCUGAUUCAAAACUUGAAUAAUAGACGACAAGAGGAGGAUGUCGUCUAUUAUAGA